This is a non-coding RNA of Kwoniella heveanensis BCC8398, 99 nucleotides long. Lineage: Eukaryota; Fungi; Basidiomycota; Tremellomycetes; Tremellales; Cryptococcaceae. The record is from Rfam.
GACGCAGUGGCACAGAGGCUACUGCGCUGCACUCGAAUUACGUAAUACCUUCGAAAUGCAGUUCCUUCGGGAGCGUGAGUUCGAGUCUCACCUGCGUCU